CGUCCACCACAAUACGCAUGGAUGGCGCGGCUGCCCGCCUGCUACGCGUCGCUGACACCCACAACGCCUCCCAGGUCCCCGGCGUCGGCUUUGCCUGACCACGGAGAAGCGCCUGGACAGCGCCAGCGCUCCUCGGUGCCACGCAUCGGUUUCUUCCGGACAUCCACUUCCAACGGCCAGCAUCGGCUUCGGCCGGCAGCGGAUGCCCUCCACACCCACCCCGCGCCCGUCACAUCUCCUCCUAGGAUCUUGCUGCUAAUCCUCGUCUAGCCCCUCCUUCCUUUGCUUCGGCAUGGAGCCCGACGAGCCGUUCAGCGUGUCUUGCAGUGGCAGAGUACAAAAUCCGCCAGAAUGAUUCACGACUGGUCUAACUGCUCCCCACGGCAAGAGAUUAAGUCCCAGAACUAAGGUUACUUUUGUCUAGAUUAUGGGGUAAAAAAACUUUUGUAUGGAUUAGUUCUCUUCCAAUGAUUCUCAUGUUUAAUGUUGUGAGUCACUUCCACAUAUGUGCACACCCGAGAGUGUUGACAAGUAUAGGUCUGAACAGUUGAAGGAAGAUGAUACAAAAAUAGUUGAAGGAAGGUCAACAUAUUUUUCCAUCCAAUUCUCAUUAGCCUUCCAUGGACCUAAAAAUAUUACUAUGAAACAAGAUACAUAUUGUUUAAAAAUUGCCAAAAUUCCAAUGGAUAAACAGUAGGGCUCAUCACUCUUUAUGUUUGCUAA
Long non-coding RNA from Triticum dicoccoides, 723 nucleotides. RefSeq lists it as uncharacterized. Lineage: Eukaryota; Viridiplantae; Streptophyta; Magnoliopsida; Poales; Poaceae. The transcript is spliced from 3 exons. The record is from RefSeq and is a predicted model, not a curated record.